This 2295-nucleotide ribosomal RNA is filed under the name Staphylococcus aureus. RNAcentral describes it as "partial 23S ribosomal RNA". It matches the Rfam family "Bacterial large subunit ribosomal RNA", at positions 621 to 2925 of the family's 2925-position model. The record is from RNAcentral. Lineage: Bacteria; Bacillati; Bacillota; Bacilli; Caryophanales; Staphylococcaceae.
CGGCGAGUUACGAUUUGAUGCAAGGUUAAGCAGUAAAUGUGGAGCCGUAGCGAAAGCGAGUCUGAAUAGGGCGUUUAGUAUUUGGUCGUAGACCCGAAACCAGGUGAUCUACCCUUGGUCAGGUUGAAGUUCAGGUAACACUGAAUGGAGGACCGAACCGACUUACGUUGAAAAGUGAGCGGAUGAACUGAGGGUAGCGGAGAAAUUCCAAUCGAACCUGGAGAUAGCUGGUUCUCUCCGAAAUAGCUUUAGGGCUAGCCUCAAGUGAUGAUUAUUGGAGGUAGAGCACUGUUUGGACGAGGGGCCCCUCUCGGGUUACCGAAUUCAGACAAACUCCGAAUGCCAAUUAAUUUAACUUGGGAGUCAGAACAUGGGUGAUAAGGUCCGUGUUCGAAAGGGAAACAGCCCAGACCACCAGCUAAGGUCCCAAAAUAUAUGUUAAGUGGAAAAGGAUGUGGCGUUGCCCAGACAACUAGGAUGUUGGCUUAGAAGCAGCCAUCAUUUAAAGAGUGCGUAAUAGCUCACUAGUCGAGUGACACUGCGCCGAAAAUGUACCGGGGCUAAACAUAUUACCGAAGCUGUGGAUUGUCCUUUGGACAAUGGUAGGAGAGCGUUCUAAGGGCGUUGAAGCAUGAUCGUAAGGACAUGUGGAGCGCUUAGAAGUGAGAAUGCCGGUGUGAGUAGCGAAAGACGGGUGAGAAUCCCGUCCACCGAUUGACUAAGGUUUCCAGAGGAAGGCUCGUCCGCUCUGGGUUAGUCGGGUCCUAAGCUGAGGCCGACAGGCGUAGGCGAUGGAUAACAGGUUGAUAUUCCUGUACCACCUAUAAUCGUUUUAAUCGAUGGGGGGACGCAGUAGGAUAGGCGAAGCGUGCGAUUGGAUUGCACGUCUAAGCAGUAAGGCUGAGUAUUAGGCAAAUCCGGUACUCGUUAAGGCUGAGCUGUGAUGGGGAGAAGACAUUGUGUCUUCGAGUCGUUGAUUUCACACUGCCGAGAAAAGCCUCUAGAUAGAAAAUAGGUGCCCGUACCGCAAACCGACACAGGUAGUCAAGAUGAGAAUUCUAAGGUGAGCGAGCGAACUCUCGUUAAGGAACUCGGCAAAAUGACCCCGUAACUUCGGGAGAAGGGGUGCUCUUUAGGGUUAACGCCCAGAAGAGCCGCAGUGAAUAGGCCCAAGCGACUGUUUAUCAAAAACACAGGUCUCUGCUAAACCGUAAGGUGAUGUAUAGGGGCUGACGCCUGCCCGGUGCUGGAAGGUUAAGAGGAGUGGUUAGCUUCUGCGAAGCUACGAAUCGAAGCCCCAGUAAACGGCGGCCGUAACUAUAACGGUCCUAAGGUAGCGAAAUUCCUUGUCGGGUAAGUUCCGACCCGCACGAAAGGCGUAACGAUUUGGGCACUGUCUCAACGAGAGACUCGGUGAAAUCAUAGUACCUGUGAAGAUGCAGGUUACCCGCGACAGGACGGAAAGACCCCGUGGAGCUUUACUGUAGCCUGAUAUUGAAAUUCGGCACAGCUUGUACAGGAUAGGUAGGAGCCUUUGAAACGUGAGCGCUAGCUUACGUGGAGGCGCUGGUGGGAUACUACCCUAGCUGUGUUGGCUUUCUAACCCGCACCACUUAUCGUGGUGGGAGACAGUGUCAGGCGGGCAGUUUGACUGGGGCGGUCGCCUCCUAAAAGGUAACGGAGGCGCUCAAAGGUUCCCUCAGAAUGGUUGGAAAUCAUUCAUAGAGUGUAAAGGCAUAAGGGAGCUUGACUGCGAGACCUACAAGUCGAGCAGGGUCGAAAGACGGACUUAGUGAUCCGGUGGUUCCGCAUGGAAGGGCCAUCGCUCAACGGAUAAAAGCUACCCCGGGGAUAACAGGCUUAUCUCCCCCAAGAGUUCACAUCGACGGGGAGGUUUGGCACCUCGAUGUCGGCUCAUCGCAUCCUGGGGCUGUAGUCGGUCCCAAGGGUUGGGCUGUUCGCCCAUUAAAGCGGUACGCGAGCUGGGUUCAGAACGUCGUGAGACAGUUCGGUCCCUAUCCGUCGUGGGCGUAGGAAAUUUGAGAGGAGCUGUCCUUAGUACGAGAGGACCGGGAUGGACAUACCUCUGGUGUACCAGUUGUCGUGCCAACGGCAUAGCUGGGUAGCUAUGUGUGGACGGGAUAAGUGCUGAAAGCAUCUAAGCAUGAAGCCCCCCUCAAGAUGAGAUUUCCCAACUUCGGUUAUAAGAUCCCUCAAAGAUGAUGAGGUUAAUAGGUUCGAGGUGGAAGCAUGGUGACAUGUGGAGCUGACGAAUACUAAUCGAUCGAAGACUUA